GAUGAAGAACGUAGCGAAAUGCGAUAAGUAAUGUGAAUUGCAGAAUUCAGUGAAUCAUCGAAUCUUUGAACGCACAUUGCGCCCCUUGGUAUUCCGAGGGGCAUGCCUGUUCGAGCGUCAUAUUAACCACUCCCGCUUGCGGGGUCUUGGGCUUCGCCUCCGGGCGGGCCUUAAAAUCAGUGGCGGUGCCGUCGGGCUCUACGCGUAGUAAAUUUUCUCGCGAUAGGGUCCCGGUGGAUGCUUGCCAACAACCCCCAACUUCUUAAGGUUGACCUCGGAUCAUGUAGGGAUACCCGCUGAACUUAAGCAUAUCAAUAAGCGGAGGA
This 326-nucleotide unclassified non-coding RNA is filed under the name soil metagenome. RNAcentral describes it as "partial contains 5.8S ribosomal RNA, internal transcribed spacer 2, and large subunit ribosomal RNA". The stretch from base 1 to 120 matches the Rfam family "5.8S ribosomal RNA", at positions 35 to 154 of the family's 154-position model. The record is from RNAcentral.